RNAcentral lists this transfer-messenger RNA (355 nucleotides) under Gammaproteobacteria (g-proteobacteria). RNAcentral describes it as "Bin55 sp021295855 Standard tmRNA". It matches the Rfam family "transfer-messenger RNA". From Rfam's summary of the family: Bacterial tmRNA, also known as 10Sa RNA or SsrA, is named for its dual tRNA and mRNA-like properties. Its role is to liberate the mRNA from a stalled ribosome. To accomplish this part of the tmRNA is used as a reading frame that ends in a translation stop signal. Lineage: Bacteria; Pseudomonadati; Pseudomonadota. The record is from RNAcentral. RNAcentral also lists the same sequence under 1 other name.
GGGGGUGACUUGGUUUUGACGGAGAUUUCAAAGACCGAGGUGCAUGCCGAGAGGGUAGUGACUCUCGUAAAUCAAACGCUGCGAAUUUAAUAGUUGCCAACGACGACAACUACGCUCUAGCGGCUUAAGGCCGCUAGUUCUGGCUGGACGAGUGCCCUUGUAGAUCAGUCGGAAUCGUUCCAAGGGAUCGUGAUCGGAGGAUGUUCCUAGUUCGAUUGCUAAAAAUGUAGGAACUCGCUUGUUUGCACCCUGAGCGUCGGGUCGCUAAUAGGUCAAAUUAAUAGACGCGCCUAAGCAUGUAGAGCCAGAGUUGGCGAGUCGACGGACGCGGGUUCGAGUCCCGCCACCUCCACCA